This 1304-nucleotide long non-coding RNA is filed under the name Sinocyclocheilus anshuiensis. Its description in RNAcentral is "lncRNA (ENSSANG00000051776.1)". The record is from RNAcentral. Lineage: Eukaryota; Metazoa; Chordata; Actinopteri; Cypriniformes; Cyprinidae.
AAUGUAUAUAAUGUGGAAUGUUCCUCAUAUGAUUUGUCCAAUCAGCUCGACUGGUCUCUGGCCUUGAGAGGGAGUCUGGUGGUGGCUUUGGAGGAUUCCAGUCUUAUUCAAGUAAAUGUUGAAAUGCACAAACCAAACAUAACAGUUCAGGGGAGGAGAGACACCAUUUUAAGUCCUGUGCAGGUUUUCAAAUCUGAAGGACAUUUCUUACCUCUCAAACUGGUCAGUGGCCAUUAUGCCUGCAGCAUGGAGGCGACCUGCCCAAAUGGUUUGUUAUUAUGGUCAUAUCUUAGCACUUAUCAUCUUUAUUUUUCAAUUUUGUAUCUCUUACAUAUUUGAAUAGCCAUUCUGCAUGUUUCUUUCAGUGAACAAUUCGUCAUCUGAAGACACGGUGCUGCAUGUCUAUAAACGGCGUAUGGGCUUGACCAAAAGAGGUGGAUAUCAAAAUGAGACCCUGUCAGUAAGCACUGUGAUUGUGGAACAGACUGACAAAUUCACCUGGUCAGAGACAAGUGACUUUGUGCAGCUUAUCAUUCCCACAUCCCACAUUCAACAGAAAAAGGAGUGCAUUGGUCAGGCAGGUGAGAAACUUCAGCAAAAUUUCUACAAGAUAGAUGCUAUUCUCACCUUUAAAGAGACAAAUCACAAAAUGCACUGGACCAUGGAAAACACUUCACCUUGUUCAGAGAUGUUAAAAUCACACCUCCAUUUAACGCAUGAUGACUCACAAGAAGCUAAUGUGACAACACUUUCACUUGAGGGUAUUACAGACAAGCCAGAAGUUCCUGUUGAUUCCAACAAAGAGUUUACUCCUUCUGUGCAACCAGAGAUGUCUACAGCAUCACAGACAGCAGAUGAAGAAACCAGUACAACCUCAGUACAAAUCCAACAACUCCAAACAUCUGAGGCUCUUAGUACUUCACCAACGGAGAUAGUGACAAAAUAUUUGCAGCUAGACUUUACGGCCUAAAGCACAACAAAGAUCUCUCAAGAAGUUCAUCUGUGCAUCAUUGACUGUGAGGGGCUGCAAUGCAGAACGGAUGGAAAUGCAGGUACUAACCGCACACGUGCCAGUGAUUUUACAAACAACACUAUUACUAUUGGUAGUCCAUUAAUCACAACAGUUGUAAUCACAGUUUGAAAUACAGCUACACAUUUAAGCACCAUUUUCACUCAGACUGGGAUUUACAACACAACAAUCAAGUGGAGCCAUGCAUCUUUUCCGCUGACAAGCAAAGUGCCGUUGGAAUCACAUGUGGGGAAUGAUUACAUCUAAGACUGUGUUGAAUAAAUGUGGUGUCUAG